This 497-nucleotide ribosomal RNA is filed under the name uncultured bacterium. RNAcentral's name for it is "partial 16S ribosomal RNA". It matches the Rfam family "Bacterial small subunit ribosomal RNA", at positions 28 to 507 of the family's 1533-position model. The record is from RNAcentral.
GAUGAACGCUGGCGGCGUGCCUAAUACAUGCAAGUCGAGCAAACAGACGAGGAGCUUGCUCCUCUGACGUUAGCGGCGGACGGGUGAGUAACACGUGGAUAACCUACCUAUAAGACUGGGAUAACUUCGGGAAACCGGAGCUAAUACCGGAUAAUAUGUUGAAUCGCAUGGUUCAACAGUGAAAGACGGUCUUGCUGUCACUUAUAGAUGGAUCCGCGCCGCAUUAGCUAGUUGGUAAGGUAACGGCUUACCAAGGCAACGAUGCGUAGCCGACCUGAGAGGGUGAUCGGCCACACUGGAACUGAGACACGGUCCAGACUCCUACGGGAGGCAGCAGUAGGGAAUCUUCCGCAAUGGGCGAAAGCCUGACGGAGCAACGCCGCGUGAGUGAAGAAGGUCUUCGGAUCGUAAAACUCUGUUAUUAGGGAAGAACAAAUGUGUAAGUAACUAUGCACGUCUUGACGGUACCUAAUCAGAAAGCCACGGCUAACUACGUG